Molecule: ribosomal RNA, 253 nt
Filed under: uncultured bacterium
Lineage: Bacteria
Description: partial 16S ribosomal RNA
Rfam family: Bacterial small subunit ribosomal RNA
Source: RNAcentral
UACGUAGGGCGCAAGCGUUAUCCGGAAUUAUUGGGCGUAAAGAGCUCGUAGGCGGUUUGUCGCGUCUGCCGUGAAAGUCCGGGGCUCAACUCCGGAUCUGCGGUGGGUACGGGCAGACUAGAGUGAUGUAGGGGAGACUGGAAUUCCUGGUGUAGCGGUGAAAUGCGCAGAUAUCAGGAGGAACACCGGUGGCGAAGGCGCUGCUCUGGGCCGGUACUGACGCUGAGGAGCGAAAGCGUGGGUAGCAAACAGG